AUAAAAAUAAAAACAUUUUAAUAUUUGCAAUUUAAUUUUCAUCACAGAAAUUUACAAAUGGGCCCUAGCUUAAUCCAUGACCUUCUAUAAAAUACAUCACAUUUGUCACUGGCAAUCGGAUAAUGCGAUAAUAAAAUCCUGAAGCAUUGCCUUAAUUACAAGUUCUAAACACGUGAUUCUUGUUAUUUCUAACUAUUUGUGAUCACAUCUUUCUACUUUUUCACAUGUAAUCUAAAUUACUGGAAUCAACAGGACUAAAAUGAGGGAAAGCUCGCCAAUUGCCUGGUAACUGGCAAAACGCGUGCACGCAUAGGGCCACAUUCACCUCUCUCAAACAUAAUCAUAAACUCCAUGUAUUCAGCAAAGUUUCAUGUCCUUACAUUUUCUUGUAUUCAGAAACCAGUAAAACAGAAUUAUCCUUAAAGUGAUCACGUGUGUUCACUGACAAUUUAACAAGUUAAAUAAUAUAGUGAGAAUUUACCAUCUAUUUGGUUACUGCUGUGACCCUCAGUGCCAAGUUUUUUUCCAGCUAGCUUUCAAACAGCCUGGUUUUUCUUCAGCUAUGGUGUUUCCAUAAAAUUGAUUGCUUUCAAUUGUAGUUUAGCCAGUGUAAUAUAUCUUUUGUGUAUUUAUUAAUAUAUAUGUAUACACACACACAUGCACAUAAAACAGGAUGUUUUACAGUGCCGGAGUCUGUGGACUUAAAGCCAGCGAGCAGCCUACGUAAAUGGCCAUCAGUUUUAGGAAAGUUUAUGUAAAAAAUUAAGGAAGACCUACGACAAGCUUUAACAGCCAACUUAGUCAUUAUAGAAAGUCCUGUGCUCCAUGCUGAGAAGCCAGAUACAAAUAAGAAACACUAUAGGUUUCCUCUCUUUUUGUAGUCUUUUGUAGAAGGCUAAAACGACACCAUCAUACAGUUACCUAAAAGACUUGACAGGUAUUGAUUUAAAGCACGAUAUAUCAAGAGGUACUGUAAAAAGGAUUUCAUGGUCAUAAAUUUUAAUGUAUUCCAAUUUUGCACUCUCUCGGUAACUUGUCAAUAACAACAAUCCCACUUAAAAUAUUUGCUUCAUUCCUGCAUGGCAUUACGUCUAUUAUGCAGUUAUUUGGAUACAUAAUUCUGUGACAAAAAUCCACUGAGUGCUAUAAAUCAAAGGUUCGAUUUUCUUCUCCAUAAAUUGUUUGAUAAUGUUUUAAUGAAGCAAAGUACAGCUUCCUGCUAUGGAUAUUUGUAUCAAAAGAAAAUCUUUUCACAGAAAUGUUUCACGCCUUAAAAAAUCGUACGUGUGUUUUUAUUUUUGUUGUAAUUUUAAGUACAAAGUAAAAUCUCUUCUUUAUUUCUUCCAGAAAGUUAGGUUUUCAGCAUUUUGUAGGAAUUGCUUGUACACUCUCCCUCUUUAGAAUUAGUUUAGAAGGCAUCAUAUUAAAAAUAAGGAGCAUCAUGAGCUGAUCAGUAGUGACAUUUAAUUAAAGCGACUAAAAUACAUUUGGUUAGAAAGAAUGGAAAGCAUUAGCUCAAGGAAUUUGUCUGCCUAUAAUUUCUUUCUUAAAAAAAAAAAAAAUCAGAUUAUUGUGAAGUAUUUGCCAUAUUAAAAUUUGAGACAGAGUAUCUGACCGCCCUCGAGAUCCUAACUGUUUAAUGGGAACUAAAAUAAAAUCAAACGACUUGUGGAUUUUAAAGAAACGUGGCAACACUGAAAGGUUACAAUUGCUUUCUAUCAAAAGAAAGCACUCACAAUCCUUUCAUGGCACACAUUUAUCAGAGAGCCAUUGCAGGCUGACACAAGGAAUUCCGGUGAUGGGAAUCUUUUCUCCAUUCUGUUGUUUAAAACAGUGGCACGCGUGUGCUGUGAUAUGGGAUCUAUUGCAUGUAGCGACGAGCUUCUUUCUAGCUUCACAUCCGGGAGCCCAAUGGAAGAGUCCCGUUCCUUCCCCAGGCUGGGCCACAUGCCGUGGGCAGAUGCCCACAGUGCCAGUGUCACCCCAGAGCCGCACCCCAGAGCUUCCUGAGGACCCCAGGGGUCCCUGGGUACCGCACGAGGGCUGGAGGAGGUGUGGGCCCAACAUGGGGCACGGCAGUAGCCCCAGGCCCUUGGCCUAGCCCGAGGUGCCCCGCUGUAGGGCUGGGAGGCAUGAAAGGCUUGGGGAUGGGGCUCGUGGCUACAACCCGCUCUGCCGUGUGGCAUAGAGGGAUUAAUUUGUGUCACGGCGAGGCUUGAGGAGCCGGGAGCUGCAGUAGCCCCGCUUUAUUGAAGCGCUCCCACAGCACGGCACAGGGGAUGGUGCAGCCAUCACGUUGCCUGUGAAAUUCCCUUAGAAACGGGCUAAUAACGUCGAGUGCCACACUUUGAAAACUGUCAAACAAAUUAGAUAUGUAUUUGUUUUAAUGUGGCUAAGUACAAUAACAGAUUAGAACGGAUUAUGUGGCUGUCUAUUCACAUUGGAAAAUCUCUGGUAGAAAAAAAAAAAAGGCUACACCUAUUUUUAUUUUCCUACUGUAUGUUCAUACAAGAAAGGAUUAAUAAAAAGUGCUUCAUAACACUUCAGGGCACCUCUGGCAGCAGUUUAAUAUACGGUGGCUAAAUAAAUACCCCAGCCUACCUGCACCUGCGAACCACAACAAAAACAUAAGCAGCCCUGAGCAUUAUGUGAUGCAGAGCCAGUGCUAAGAACUGAGGGGACGAUCCCUGCAUGGCCGGAAACUUCUCAGUUCGGUAAACCUCAUUUUCUGAACACAUUUUAUUGCAGUUUAUUUACGAGUGACUGGCAGUUCCAUUUAUAAAGGUAAAAUUCAGAGUUGCAUUGUACUCUAGCACUGCUGACUUCCCCAGACCAAUAGUUCCACCAGAGAUGACCCAUGGAAGAUGUAUGGACUGAAAUGAGGAGGGAGAAGAAAGAAUUCUGGGUCCCUUCAAACAUACUAAAUGCAAGUAUUGAGCCAGAUAUUUUUAUUGUUAAAAAUCUGGCACACAGUCCAGUUAAAUAAUAAAAGAAAACAAGUAAAAUAAUUAGUUCAGUAGCAGAAAGUCUGCGAGGCAUAGGAGAGCCUCAAGUGGUUGGAACAUUUUGCUUGAACAUCUGUUUGUCGAUGCAUGAUUCUGGUGUUAUUAAUCUUCUUUGUAGGUAAGCAGGUGAUUCACCCUAACCAAAUUGCUGUUGUCCAGGAACAGUUCUCUCCCAGCCCUGAAAAAAUAAAGUGGGCACAAGAACUGAUUUCUGCUUUUGAAGAACAUCAGCGUUUAGGAAAGAGCCUUCUGAGUACAUGCAUAUAUAUCUGCAGCAUCGGUGAAUUAAAACUGCUUCUGAGUCGCACCACCAAAAGAAAAUAUUUGCCAGCAAAAGGCAGGUAGCUGAGCAGAAGACUCCAACAGCUUGUGCGGGCAUAAUUGAUGGAAAGGGAUAAACAGAUGAGGAAGAUUCAGUUUUCAGAAAAUCUCUGCGUUGGUAAAACUACCUCACUUUUGGGGGGUUGAUUCUGCAAACGUCCCUAGCAGCGAGUAGAUUUACUUCUGAGCAGAGCUGCUUGCGGAUUGUGGUUCUUAAUCAUUAAAAAUGGGAAUGUUUUAUGUGCAUUUACACCGAUUGCUGGACCUGAAAUUUGGAUAGAGUGGAAAGCAAAUUAACACUAGAAUAUGAUUGUUCCUAAUUUAGUGCAUCAUUGAGUCUCACGUUUCCUGCUCUGUGGGUUUCUGCUAUGUAAAUAUUGCGGUGGUGAUGCGCAAUCUGUCUCCACUUUGUGCCAGUAAUACUUAAAUUAGGGGUCGCCUGAAGGAAGAUUUUAUGCUAGUUGCAGCAUUGUCAGUUAAUUAUCUUAAAGGUUAUUUGCUAUAAUCCAGUUUGCCUCUUUUUGAAUGAAAAAAGUUGUGGUGAAAUAUGUUUGUCUUAGUGACAGCCAAGCCCGGGACAGCCAAAAUCCCGAUGUCAGAGCGGGUUGUGGGGGCGUGCAGAAAUGGUUUACACUUGCAUGCAUGCAAUUCAAGUGGGAAAAAAUAUCUUUGUUAACGAAGCUCACAUGUAGGGCCGUGCAUAGAUUCUCGCUUUCUCUGGUACAGCUUAGAGAUUUUUUGUGUGUUUUGUCACUUGCUGGUGGGUAGGAAUAAGCUGCAGCGUGCCCCUUCCCCGUUCCCUUGUAUCUCGGCUGCCCCAGGUGUUGUGUGUUACAGAUUCUAAAAAAGGUCAAAGCAGAAACGAUGCUUUCAUCUCAGGAUGAAAGUGUGACAAGGUAUUUGUUAUUGGUCUGCCCUUUUCUUUGCGAAGCUGCCGCAUCCCGUCUGCGGUGCCGAGGUGUUUCUAAUGCGUCCUUUACUAUCAUAUUUGGGUGCCAUCCUGAGCAGUUACUUCAGGGUCACUGUUACUGUGUUACGUGCCUGGAUCUCUUUGUUCUACUUCUCCUAUUUUGGAGGGUGACUGUCUUCCUGUUAGUGGUUUAGAAACAGAAAAUCUGUGACCAGCAUUGCACGUUAUCUUGAUUUUAAAAGCUUGGGUCUGUUGGCAAAGGAAGCAUUAUAAAUGUGCUGCUAGAGCAAGAGUGUGUGCAGGUAGAUGCAGAAUGAAAAAAUCAUAUGACAUGUUCAGCCUGAUAUUGUUUAUUUUUUAUUGCUUAUAAUAUGCUUUUAAUUCACUGAAUUUAGAAACUCAUCUAUGGAAUACCCCUGUCGUUUGUACAGCCAGUGAGGAGACUGGGAGAUGUAACUAUAGUCCCAGUCUCACACAACAAUGAAGCUACAGAUGUUAAAAUGCAAGCACUCUGCAUUAGCAAGCAUUAUUAUUUGGAUUUGUUUCGAAGCUGCAAUUUUAUUGGCACAACAUUGGUUUCCUGAUCACAUCAGCCAUUUUUUGGUGUGUUUUAGUAAUUGCUUUUCAUUUAGAUUGUAAGCUUCUGUAAGCAGACACAAGUACAGAUUUGUGGGGGUUUGCAUCUUGGUGUAUUAUUUCAACCAUGCUUCAUAUAUGUAUGCUUUGUAUUUUUUUACACUCAGCUGCCUGUCUGUAAAAAGAACUGGCAGGUUAAUCUGAGAACUUCUGAGCCUCGCACUGCUCCAGUGUUGCUGGGCUUCCUAACCAAACAGUUUUCCCUCUAGUGUUUCCUGCAAACUUCUUAGCUGGGUUUGCAUUUUGGUAUUAAAAACGUGUCAGCUAGAAGAGCUCGGGCAGCCUGAUUACUUCAUAUUUUUCCAAAGCAAACAUAUCUCACCGAGGGAGCCUCUGGCUCUGCGUCCUAGAGACACGCUAAAAUGUAAGUAAUAACUCUUCCCGUGCCACCUCCUGACAAAUGCUCCACACAGUGGUUUUAGUAAUCCUCAUGUCCUAAUGAAACACCUCUUCUGUU
Molecule: non-coding RNA, 5329 nt
Organism: Meleagris gallopavo (turkey)
Lineage: Eukaryota; Metazoa; Chordata; Aves; Galliformes; Phasianidae
Source: RefSeq, a predicted model, not a curated record